GACAGAGGGUGCAAACGUUGUUCGGAAUUACUGGGCGUAAAGCGCGUGUAGGCGGCUAAGUAAGUCGGGCGUGAAAUCCCACGGCUCAACCGUGGAAGUGCACUCGAAACUGCAUAGCUAGAGUCCUGGAGAGGAAGGUGGAAUGCUUGGUGUAGAGGUGAAAUUCGUAGAUAUCAAGCGGAACACCGGUGGCGAAGGCGGCCUUCUGGACAGUGACUGACGCUGAGGCUCGAAAGCGUGGGUAGCGAACGGG
Molecule: ribosomal RNA, 253 nt
Filed under: uncultured bacterium
Lineage: Bacteria
Description: partial 16S ribosomal RNA
Rfam family: Bacterial small subunit ribosomal RNA
Source: RNAcentral